Molecule: long non-coding RNA, 2841 nt
Filed under: Homo sapiens (human)
Lineage: Eukaryota; Metazoa; Chordata; Mammalia; Primates; Hominidae
Description: HSALNT0003240
Source: RNAcentral
GAAACUACCUUUGCAAAAAUUAUAACAGUAAGAAAAUCAUGGCAGUAAAAGAGAUCUGAUCUAAUCCACACCCAUCUUGCCUUUCCCUUAAUUAUUCCUGGGCUUUGGGGCUGAGCUAACUUUGAGAGACAUUUAGUUUAUACUUUAAAUGAUAAUAGGCCUUCCCCAAAACUCAACUGUCUUUGUUAAGCCAAUGAAAGGUCAUCAGGCUGUGGGAGGAGAGGAAUCUGAAUUCUGCUAAGGUGAAGAAAUUGUUUAAUUGCCAGCCACUCCUGCAGGUAACACCACUAUUGUAGAUUGGCCUUUUGAGUAUCUUUUCAGUUUUUGGAAGUCUGAAACCAAUGGCUCCACCCGUACCUGGCUCUGCCUCUACCCACCGACAUUGCUCCUGUGGUCCCACUCAGAAGUAGUUCAGCACUCAGGACAGCUUCCACCCCCUAUGAUUUCAUCUCUGUCCCAACCAAUCAGCAGCAAGCCUAGCCACCGCAGCCCUUCCUCGAAAGUGCCUUUGGAAAACUCCUAAACUACCAGCUUUGGAUGAGAUUUAUUUGAGUCCUAAUUCUGUCUGUCACAUUGUGUGACCGGCCUCAUGUCUAUUGUACUCUUUCGUUACUGCAAUGCUGUGGUCUUUGUUUAUGCAGCAGGCAGGAAGAAUCCAUUGGGUGGUUACAUCAUUAACCCUUACAUUUUUAUGUUCUAGUUUCAGAAAAUUCUCUUCUCUACCCCCGGACCAUAUUGGGGGAACCCACCCUCAAUAUUUCAACAUAGGUUCUUUCUAUUUUCCAUAAGUGUAGGCCGGCUGAGAAAUAAAGAGAGACAGUACAAAGAGAGGAAUUUUACAGCUAGGCUGCUGGAGGUGACAUCACAUAUCAGUAGGACCGUGAUGCCUGCCUAAGUCUCAGACCAGCAAGUUUUUAUUAAGGGUUUCAAAAGGGGAGGGGGUGUAAGAACAGGGAGUAGGUACAAAGAUCACAUGCUUCAAAGGGCAAAAAGCAGAACCACUAAUAAGGGUCUAACAAAGAUCACGUGCUUCUGAGGGAACAGCUAGAAUUACCAUAUGAUCCAGAAAUUUCACUUCUGGGCGUACACCCCAAAGAAUUGACAGCAGGGACUAGAACAGCCUGUGAAUACCUAUGUUCGUAGCAGCCUUAUUCACAAUAGCCAAAAAGGGGAAACAACUCAAAUGUCUGUUGACAGAUCAAUGGAUAAACAAAAUGGGAAUAUACAUACAAUGGAAUAUUAUUCUGCCUGAAAAAGGAAGACAAUUCUUUUUUUUUCUUUUUUUUCUUUUUUUUUUUUUUUGAGAUGGAGUCUUGCUCAGUUGCCCAGGCUGGAGUGCAGUGGCGCAAUCUCGGCUCACUGCAAGCUCCACCUCCCAGGUUCACGCCAUUCUCCUGCUUCAGCCUCCCGAGUAGCUGGGACUACAGGCGCCCGCCACCAUGUCCGGCUAAUUUUUUUUUGUAUUUUUAAUAGAGAUGGGGUUUCACCGUGUUAGCCAGGAUGGUCUUGAUCUCCUGACCUCGUGAUCCGCCCGCCGCAGCCUCCCAAAGUGCUGGGAUUACAGGCGUGAGCCACUGUGCCUGGCCAAAAGGAAGACAAUUCUAACAUAUGCUACAACAUGAAGGAACUUUGAAAACAUUAUGGUCAGUAAAUUAAAUAAGCUACAAGACACAAGAGGACAAAUAUGACACAAGAGAAUAAAUAUUGUAUGAUUCUACUUAUAUGUGUUACCCAAAGUAGUCAAUUGCAUAGAGAUAGAAACAGAAAAUAGAAUGGUGGUUGCAGGGUCUGGAAAGAGAGGAGGAGUGCAGAGUUAUUAUUAUUAUCAUCAUUAUUUUCAGACGGAGUUUCAGUCUUGUUGCCCAGGCUGGAGUGCAGUGGCGCCAUUUCGGCUCACUGCAACCUUUGCCUCCCGAGUUCAAGUGAUUCUCCUGCCUCAGCCUCCUGAGUAGCUGGGAUUACAGGCGCCCACCACCAUGCCCAGCUAAGUUUUGUAUUUUUAGUAGAGACAGGGUUUCAUUAUGUUGGCCAGGCUGGUCUCAAACUCCUGACCUCAGGUGAUCCACCUGCCUCGGCCUCCCAAAGUGCUGGGAUUACAGGCGUGAGCCACUGUGCCUGGCCCAGAGUUAUUGUUUUAUGGGUAGAGAGUUUCAGUUUUGCAAGAUGAAAGGAAUUCUAUAGACGGGUGGUGGUGAAGAUUGUACUUAAUGCCGCUGAACUGUACUCCUAAAAAGGGUUAAAAUAGUAACUUUUAUGUCAUGUGUAUUUUACUACAAAAAAAAAAAAAAAAAGAGAGAGAGAGAGAGACUGGGCACAGCGGCUCAUGCCUGUAAUCUCAACACUUUGGAAGGCUAAGGUGGGAGGAUCACUUAAGCCCAGGAAUUCAAGACCACCAGCCUGGAUGAUAUAGUGAGACCUUGUCUCUAAAAAAAAAUUAAAUUAAAAAAAAAGUGAUGGGAUACUUCUGAGAUUAGGUUGCAGAAAGACGAUGACUUCUACCUUGCAAGCUCUCAUCCUCCCUAACUUACCCUGAGGGAAAACAGUUGCCAUAAUGUAAGCUGCCCCGUGGAGAGGUCCACAAGGCAAGGAAAUGAUGCCUCAAGUCAACAGCCAUGCGGUGAGUUUGGAAGUGGAUUCUUCUCAAGCCAAGCCUUGAAAUGACUGCAGUCUGUGAUGACACCUUCAUUGCAAUCUUGUGAAAGACUCUGAACCAACUCUCAAUCUUGAGAGAGCCUCGUCUUCUGGACGAGCUAAGCUGCACCCAGAUUUCUGACCUACAGAAACCCCCCUGCAACCACUGAAGUUCUACUUUCUGUCUCUUUAAAUUUGACUACUCAAGAA